RNAcentral lists this ribosomal RNA (497 nucleotides) under uncultured bacterium. RNAcentral's name for it is "partial 16S ribosomal RNA". It matches the Rfam family "Bacterial small subunit ribosomal RNA", at positions 28 to 507 of the family's 1533-position model. The record is from RNAcentral.
GAUGAACGCUGGCGGCGUGCCUAAUACAUGCAAGUCGAGCGAACAGAUGAGGAGCUUGCUCCUCUGACGUUAGCGGCGGACGGGUGAGUAACACGUGGAUAACCUACCUAUAAGACUGGGAUAACUUCGGGAAACCGGGGCUAAUACCGGAUAAUAUAUUGAACCGCAUGGUUCAAUAGUGAAAGACGGUUUUGCUGUCACUUAUAGAUGGAUCCGCGCCGCAUUAGCUAGUUGGUAAGGUAACGGCCUACCAAGGGAACGAUGCGUAGCCGACCUGAGAGGGUGAAUAGGCAAAACUGGAACUGGAAAACGUCCCAAAUCCCAACGGAGGGCAGCGUGAGGAAUUCUGCCGCAAUGGGCGAAGGCCUGACGAAGCAUACCCGCGGGAGGAAGGAGGGUUUUCGGUUCUUAAGACUCUGUGUUGAGGGAGAAAAAAAGGUGGAAAUAACUAUGCUCGUCUGAAGGUAACCAAAGCAUAAGGCCACGCUAAAUUAGUG